UCCCAAAGUCAUAGUUAAGUGGGAAACGAUGUGGGAAGGCCCAGACAGCCAGGAUGUUGGCUUAGAAGCAGCCAUCAUUUAAAGAAAGCGUAAUAGCUCACUGGUCGAGUCGGCCUGCGCGGAAGAUGUAACGGGGCUAAACUAUGCACCGAAGCUGCGGCAGCGACACUAUGUGUUGUUGGGUAGGGGAGCGUUCUGUAAGCCUGUGAAGGUGUGUCGUGAGGCAUGCUGGAGGUAUCAGAAGUGCGAAUGCUGACAUAAGUAACGAUAAAGCGGGUGAAAAGCCCGCUCGCCGGAAGACCAAGGGUUCCUGUCCAACGUUAAUCGGGGCAGGGUGAGUCGACCCCUAAGGCGAGGCCGAAAGGCGUAGUCGAUGGGAAACGGGUUAAUAUUCCCGUACUUGGUGUUACUGCGAAGGGGGGACGGAGAAGGCUAUGUUGGCCGGGCGACGGUUGUCCCGGUUUAAGCGUGUAGGUGUGUGUUCCAGGUAAAUCCGGUUCACUUUAACACUGAGGCGUGA
This 520-nucleotide ribosomal RNA is filed under the name Salmonella enterica. Its description in RNAcentral is "partial 23S ribosomal RNA". It matches the Rfam family "Bacterial large subunit ribosomal RNA", at positions 1045 to 1566 of the family's 2925-position model. The record is from RNAcentral. Lineage: Bacteria; Pseudomonadati; Pseudomonadota; Gammaproteobacteria; Enterobacterales; Enterobacteriaceae.